AGGUCAAGCUACAAAGGGCGCAUGGUGAAUGCCUUGGCAUCAGGAGCCGAUGAAGGACGUGAUAAGCUGCGAUAAGCUUCGGGUAGGCGCACAUAGCCUGAGAUCCGAAGAUCUCCGAAUGAGGAAACUCACAUGGGAAACCCCAUGUAUCAUUAAGUGAAUACAUAGCUUAAUGAAGGUAACCCAGGGAACUGAAACAUCUAAGUACCUGGAGGAAGAGAAAGAAAAAUCGAUUUUCUUAGUAGCGGCGAGCGAAAGGGAAAGAGCCCAAACCGGAAACUUGUUUCCGGGGUUGUGGACAUAACAUAAAAGUGGAGGCUAUUGUAACUGAAGAGAACUGGAAAGUUCCACCGUAGAAGGUAAUAGUCCUGUAAGUGAAACGAGAAGACCACGAGUUAUGAUCCAGAGUACCACGAGACACGUGAAACCUUGUGGGAAGCAGGGAGGACCACCUCCCAAGGCUAAAUACUACCUGAUGACCGAUAGUGAAGCAGUACCGUGAGGGAAAGGUGAAAAGAACCCCGGGAGGGGAGUGAAAUAGAACCUGAAACCGUGUGCCUACAACCGCUCAGAGCCCCUUAUGAGGGUGAUGAGGUGCUUUUUGUAGAACGAGCCAACGAGUUACGGUAUGUAGCAAGGUUAAGUACUUAAGGUACGGAGCCGAAGGGAAACCGAGUCUGAAUAGGGCGACUAGUUGCAUGCCGUAGACCCGAAACCGGGUGACCUAUCCAUGGCCAGGUUGAAGCGAGGGUAAAACCUCGUGGAGGACCGAACCACGUUGCUGUUGAAAAAGCAUGGGAUGAGCUGUGGAUAGCGGAGAAAUUCCAAUCGAACCCGGAGAUAGCUGGUUCUCUCCGAAAUAGCUUUAGGGCUAGCGUCGAGUAUGAGUAGUGGAGGUAGAGCACUGAAUGGGCUAGGGGGCAUAGCGCUUACCGAACCUUAUCAAACUCCGAAUGCCACAUACUUUGAGCUCGGCAGUCAGACUACGAAUGAUAAGAUCCGUGGUCAAAAGGGAAACAGCCCAGAUCGUCAGCUAAGGUCCCAAAGUGUAAGUUAAGUGGGAAAGGAUGUGAGAUUUCUAAGACAACUAGGAUGUUGGCUUAGAAGCAGCCAUUCAUUAAAAGAGUGCGUAAUAGCUCACUAGUCGAGAGAUCUUGCGCCGAAAAUGUAACGGGGCUAAACUUACCACCGAAGCUACGGGCUUGAACUUAGUUCAAGCGGUAGGAGAGCGUCGUAACCGGGCUGAAGUCGUACCGUAAGGAGCGGUGGACUGGUUACGAGUGAGAAUGUUGGCAUCAGUAGCGAGAUGUGGGUGAGAAUCCCACAGGCCGAAAACCUAAGGUUUCCUCAGGAAGGUUCGUCCGCUGAGGGUUAGUCGGGACCUAAGCCGAGGCCGAAAGGCGUAGGUGAUGGACAACUGGUUGAUAUUCCAGUACCACUACCAUCGUUAUUAUCGAUGGCGUGACGCAGGAGGAUAGUGUGUGCUAGCUAUUGGAUGCUAGUCUAAGCGUUUAGGCAGUGAGAGUAGG
Molecule: ribosomal RNA, 1529 nt
Filed under: Clostridium perfringens
Lineage: Bacteria; Bacillati; Bacillota; Clostridia; Eubacteriales; Clostridiaceae
Description: partial 23S ribosomal RNA
Rfam family: Bacterial large subunit ribosomal RNA
Source: RNAcentral